Molecule: unclassified non-coding RNA, 229 nt
Filed under: plant metagenome
Description: partial contains small subunit ribosomal RNA, internal transcribed spacer 1, and 5.8S ribosomal RNA
Source: RNAcentral
UCUCCGUAGGUGAACCCGCGGAGGGAUCAUUACAGAGUUCAUGCCCUACCGGGUAGAUCUCCCACCCUAUGUUAUUAUUACUUUGUUGCUUUGGCGGGCCGUUAGGCUCCGGCCCGACUACCGGCCCCGGCUGGUAAGCGCCCGCCAGAGGACCCAAAACCCUGAAUAUUAGUGUCGUCUGAGUACUAUAUAAUAGUUAAAACUUUCAACAACGGAUCUCUUGGUUCUG